AAACAUUCUGCAGUUAUGCUAUCUCAAUACGGCAUCGAUUAAUUGUAUUUGUCGUCUCUAUGAUGGCAAACUCACGAAUCUGAAAAAUUAUAAAUUUGUGAUAUCGCAAAGUAAAAAUAUUGAUAUACUAUCAAUGAUUAAGAAGACUUACACUUGCUUAUGGCACACCAAUAUUGCACCACAUCAAUGCACAUUUAAAGGAAAAACUACGAAAGUUUGAAAAAAAAAAUACAUAUGGAUCUGCAACGGAAUAUACAGAAAACCCGAAACCAAUUAAAAGCACUAUUAUUCCAACAAACUCUUGUACAAGGAAGCAAACAUAACUAGAAUUCAUAAUUUUCUUAUAAAAUUGAUUCGAAAUCAUUAUGAUAAAGCACAAAACAUUCUUGAAAAUGGUUUAAUAUCACAUAUAUUCUAUUAAAUAAAGAAUAUGGAUGGUUGCACAAUCGCCUUAGUAACAUUUAUAGAGCUGACAUUAUCGAAAUGAGAUAUUCAACUGUAAUGAAAAAUAAAGCAAUUGAUGAAAGUAAAAAUUGUUGCUGAAAGAUCGGAAGAUUUUGCUGUUACUAUGCAGUUUGCGUAUUAUACGGUAUAAUAAAAGUAGAUUGUAGAUUACUAAAAAGAGAUAUGGGGAAAGGAACUCCUCCCAUAUAACAAUCGCAUUCAGCCAUGCCUUAUUGGAGCCCUUUCAUAUUCUAUUUUUUAUAAAUACCCGGCGAUAUCACACAGGAAGUUGGACAUGAGCUCCCCCAACGCUUCAAAAGACUAUAUUUCAAGGGAUAAUCCAAACUCAUAAAUGUGCGAUGCCUAAUAAUAUUUGUGCGUGAUCCAGUAAAUUGCAUUGUAUAGGACGGAGAUAAAAGUAUUUGGUCUGAAUAUGGAAUUGGAAAGAAUUCGCCAGGCAUCGGUUGAACAUAGAAAGGUUGUAUUAAAAAAUGCAGCACUGAAACAUUGGUCAUGAAGAAUAAUAUUGGACAUUGUCAUCUGGACGUAGGUAAAAAUGUUGAAACUGGCAAUAUUUUUGUGCCUAUACUUUAACAAAAUGGGAAGUUGAGAAAACAAAUACUAUCGCAUUCGUCUUUUACUGCUUCCCAAUUUUUAAUGAUGAAACUAGAAAGCAGCAAUGUAAACGCAACUCA
This is a long non-coding RNA of Condylostylus longicornis, 1139 nucleotides long. RefSeq lists it as uncharacterized. The record is from RefSeq and is a predicted model, not a curated record. Lineage: Eukaryota; Metazoa; Arthropoda; Insecta; Diptera; Dolichopodidae. The transcript is spliced from 3 exons.